GGUUAAGCGACUAAGCGUACACGGUGGAUGCCCUGGCAGUCAGAGGCGAUGAAGGGCGUGCUAAUCUGCGAUAAGCGCCGGUAAGGUGAUAUGAACCGUUAUAACCGGCGAUACCCGAAUGGGGAAACCCAGUGUGACUCGUCACACUAUCAUUAACUGAAUCCAUAGGUUAAUGAGGCGAACCGGGGGAACUGAAACAUCUAAGUACCCCGAGGAAAAGAAAUCAACCGAGAUUCCCCCAGUAGCGGCGAGCGAACGGGGAGGAGCCCAGAGCCUGAAUCAGCAUGUGUGUUAGUGGAAGCGUCUGGAAAGGCGCGCGAUACAGGGUGACAGCCCCGUACACAAAAGCGCAUGUGCUGUGAGCUCGAUGAGUAGGGCGGGACACGUGGUAUCCUGUCUGAAUAUGGGGGGACCAUCCUCCAAGGCUAAAUACUCCUGACUGACCGAUAGUGAACCAGUACCGUGAGGGAAAGGCGAAAAGAACCCCGGCGAGGGGAGUGAAAAAGAACCUGAAACCGUGUACGUACAAGCAGUGGGAGCACAGGUUUACCUGUGUGACUGCGUACCUUUUGUAUAAUGGGUCAGCGACUUAUAUUCUGUAGCAAGGUUAACCGUAUAGGGGAGCCGUAGGGAAACC
This 637-nucleotide ribosomal RNA is filed under the name Salmonella enterica. RNAcentral describes it as "partial 23S ribosomal RNA". It matches the Rfam family "Bacterial large subunit ribosomal RNA", at positions 1 to 678 of the family's 2925-position model. RNAcentral also lists the same sequence under 1 other name. Lineage: Bacteria; Pseudomonadati; Pseudomonadota; Gammaproteobacteria; Enterobacterales; Enterobacteriaceae. The record is from RNAcentral.